GCCUCAAGUGAUGUGU
This 16-nucleotide ribosomal RNA is filed under the name Anopheles gambiae (African malaria mosquito). Its description in RNAcentral is "partial 28S ribosomal RNA". Lineage: Eukaryota; Metazoa; Arthropoda; Insecta; Diptera; Culicidae. The record is from RNAcentral. RNAcentral also lists the same sequence under 9 other names.